RNAcentral lists this long non-coding RNA (384 nucleotides) under Malus domestica (apple). RNAcentral's name for it is "long non-coding RNA (MDOM_LNC005749)". Lineage: Eukaryota; Viridiplantae; Streptophyta; Magnoliopsida; Rosales; Rosaceae. The record is from RNAcentral.
GUCAUUUUCCCCUUUCAAGCAACAUUCACAAGUACCCAUCCGUUCAUUACCUAAUGGGUUGAUGUAUCCGUCUUUCGACAUCUUGUGAAUCUUUUCAAGGUUCACAUGUCCAAGUUUAAGAUGCCACAUCUUUUCUUGGUUAACUUCUUCUCUAGCCCUUUUGGGUUUUGAGGUAUUCCUGCUCGCAAUACAGUGCAUCCCACUAUUCGUCUCUAGGUUGAAAAAGUCCCUCUAUCAUAUUACCAUGAGAGAUAAUACGACCGUUCAAGUAUAAGUGCAACUCAUUUUGUCAAACAAUACUGAGUGCCCAUCUCGUAAAGCUUAGAGAUGGAAAUCAAAUUCUUUAUACAUGAAGGAAAAUAUAAACAAUUUUUAAGUUCCAGG